GACGAACGCUGGCGGCGUGCUUAACACAUGCAAGUCGAACGAUGAAGCUGGAGCUUGCUCCGGUGGAUUAGUGGCGAACGGGUGAGUAACACGUGAGCAAUCUGCCCUUGACUCUGGGAUAACUGCGGGAAACUGUAGCUAAUACCGGAUACUUUCACUGGAAGGCAUCUUCUGGUGAAGAAAGAAUUUCGGUCAAGGAUGAGCUCGCGGCCUAUCAGCUUGUUGGUGAGGUAACGGCUCACCAAGGCGACGACGGGUAGCCGGCCUGAGAGGGUGACCGGCCACACUGGGACUGAGACACGGCCCAGACUCCUACGGGAGGCAGCAGUGGGGAAUAUUGCACAAUGGGCGCAAGCCUGAUGCAGCAGCGCCGCGUGAGGGAUGAAGGCCUUCGGGUUGUAAACCUCUUUUAGCAGGGAAGAAGCGAAAGUGACGGUACCUGCAGAAAAAGCACCGGUUAACUACGUGCCAGCCGCCGCAGUAA
Molecule: ribosomal RNA, 484 nt
Filed under: uncultured bacterium
Lineage: Bacteria
Description: partial 16S ribosomal RNA
Rfam family: Bacterial small subunit ribosomal RNA
Source: RNAcentral